This is a non-coding RNA of Triticum urartu, 223 nucleotides long. Lineage: Eukaryota; Viridiplantae; Streptophyta; Magnoliopsida; Poales; Poaceae. The record is from RefSeq and is a predicted model, not a curated record.
ACUUCUCAUUCUCCUAUGUCGGCAUCCUCGCCGGUCAGAGGCCCGCCGGCCAUCGGCGUACUCCCCGUUGCCACGGCGCGCCCCUCCCAACUCUCAUCGCCACACCGUCCCGCAAGAUGGGAUCCGCCAUGUCAAGAAGGGGGAGAAGGAGCGAAUACAUUAAUCAGAUUAUAAUAUUGUCAAAUCGACGUGGGCUAUAACCAAACAUCAUUGUGAUUUUUUU